Molecule: ribosomal RNA, 699 nt
Filed under: uncultured bacterium
Lineage: Bacteria
Description: bacterial SSU rRNA
Rfam family: Bacterial small subunit ribosomal RNA
Source: RNAcentral
CCCUUAGAGUUUGAUCCUGGCUCAGAACGAACGCUGGCGGCGCGCCUAAUACAUGCAAGUCGAGCGAGAAGACGUAGCAAUACGUUUGUAAAGCGGCGAACGGGUGAGGAAUACAUGGGUAACCUACCCUCGAGUGGGGAAUAACUAGCCGAAAGGUUAGCUAAUACCGCAUACGACUCUUGGUCUGCGGAUCGAGAGAGAAAGCGAUACCGUGGGUAUCGCGCUCCUGGAUGGGCUCAUGUCCUAUCAGCUUGUUGGUGAGGUAACGGCUCACCAAGGCUUCGACGGGUAGCUGGUCUGAGAGGACGAUCAGCCACACUGGCACUGCGACACGGGCCAGACUCCUACGGGAGGCAGCAGUAAGGAAUAUUGCGCAAUGGGCGACAGCCUGACGCAGCGACGCCGCGUGGGGGAUGAAGGUCUUCGGAUUGUAAACCCCUUUCGGGAGGGAAGAUGGAACGGGUAACCGUUCGGACGGUACCUCCAGAAGCAGCCACGGCUAACUUCGUGCCAGCAGCCGCGGUAAUACGAAGGUGGCAAGCGUUGUUCGGAUUUACUGGGCGUACAGGGAGCGUAGGCGGUUGGGUAAGCCCUCCGUGAAAUCUCCGGGCCUAACCCGGAAAGUGCGGAGGGGACUGCUCGGCUAGAGGAUGGGAGAGGAGCGCGGAAUUCCCGGUGUAGCGGUGAAAUGCGUAGAGA